RNAcentral lists this long non-coding RNA (467 nucleotides) under Rattus norvegicus (Norway rat). RNAcentral describes it as "long non-coding RNA NONRATT026540". Lineage: Eukaryota; Metazoa; Chordata; Mammalia; Rodentia; Muridae. The record is from RNAcentral.
GGGCAGCUGGGCCGGUUUUGAAGGAUGCCUAGGAAUUUGACAAACAUGCUCCGGCCUCCUCUGCCUCUCAGCCUUUCAUUAUGAAUGCAACAAUGAAUCAGAUAAGAGGGAGUUUGAGAAGGCACUGGAGACCAUUGCUGUGUCCUUCAGCUGCACGUGAGCUCGGGGGGGCCAUGGGGGCAGAGUGGAGUUGGGGAGUGUGGCUGAAGUGGACCUCUGGAGUGACUCCCCUGGCCUUGCAGUGUGUCGGAGUUCCUUUUGGGUGAAGUGGACAGCAGUACACUCCUGGCUGUGCCUCCGGGGGACCCUAGCCAGUUGGUGGAGAACCUUUAUGGGUCAGGCAGUGAGGGGCCCCCACACAGCGUGGAGGAUUGUGAAGAAGGUUGCCUGCCCCCCGAGGAGGUGGACAUGCUUCUCCAGCGCUGCGAGGGAGGUGUGGACGCCGCGCUGCAGUAUGCAAAAGACAU